This is a small nuclear RNA of Fukomys damarensis (Damara mole-rat), 107 nucleotides long. NCBI's taxonomy places the organism in Eukaryota, Metazoa, Chordata, Mammalia, Rodentia, Bathyergidae. The record is from Ensembl.
GUGCUCUCUUCAGCAGAACAUAUACUAAAAUUGUAAUAAUACAGAGAAGAUUGCCAUGACCCCUGUACAAGCAUGACACACAAAUUUGAGAAACAUUCCAUAUUUUU